Molecule: long non-coding RNA, 2171 nt
Organism: Oncorhynchus tshawytscha (Chinook salmon)
Lineage: Eukaryota; Metazoa; Chordata; Actinopteri; Salmoniformes; Salmonidae
Exons: 3
Source: RefSeq, a predicted model, not a curated record
GACUGCGUCAGCACUGAAAACCCUACUGUGGUUGGCGCUUGUGGGAAAAAAAUAAUAGAUUACGGUAGAUUGUAAUCUUUACUCGCACACUGUGCUCGUAAAUCAUUUUUCCGGUUCGCACAAAUCAAUUUAAGGGCAAAUGCGAGUGAAAUACUCGCAUUGUAGAGCCCUGGAUACCUUUUACAGAAUGGUCUGAGUUGUUAUGAUACGCUGUUUAAACCCACAUUGGGGCGAGGAGAGUAAUAGUUUACUCCAGCAGACGAUGGAGGUGGAGAGAAUAGAUUACGACAUUGGAGGGGUGCUACUUCACAGCCUGAGUGGGGGACACAGGAUCUGGUGGGUAAGCAUGGGACCAGUCCCAAAUGGCACCCUGUUCUCUAUGUAGUGCCCUACUGUUGACCAGUGCCCAUAGGGAUAUGGGACUCUACUCAAAAGUAGUGCACUUUAUAGGGCAAAUUUUGUAAUUUGAGAUGCAGACAUGGGCUCUAGCAUAAUUUGGAAAGAAUAGAGGUCAGUGACCAGUAAUAAGGGCCAGUUUCCCAGACACAGAUUAAGCCUAGUCCUGGACUAAACAACACAGUCAAUGGAGAAUCUCCAUUGAAAUAGCUUUGUAGUCCAGGACUGAACAUAUUAUCUGGGUCUGGGAAACUGGCCCUGAUGGUGUGUAGUCGCGCUCUUCAGAGAAAUGUCCUUUAUGCUGAUAGGAAACGUCUAGUCAUCUAGGCAGCAUAACAUAAUUGGCGAUGAUGAGUUUGCUGACUGUUUGUGCGGUCAUUGUUCCAGGGCUCAGUUCCAAGCUGUGUGAGGAGAUCCGUGACACGUUUCGGUCACAUUUUGACUGGAUCAGUGACGCUGCACCAAAGUGCAGAGAAUCCCGUUCAACACUACAGCACACUGCUGAGUUUUAAUACUAAACACAGAAGGAAUACCAAAUGUCUUGUUUUGAGUCAGACCUGGGCCUGUAUUCAUAAAGCUUUAGUAGGACUGCUGAUCUAGGAUCAGGGCCUCCCUGUCCAUAAUAAUCUGAUUCAACAUCAAAUGAUAUUUUAUUGGUCGCAUACACAUAUUUAGUAGAUGUUAUUGCAGGUGUAGGUAAAUGCGUGUGUUCCUAGCUCCCAGCAGUUCAGUAAUAUCUAGCUGUAAAGACAUUAAGGACAGUAUGUGGAUAGAAUAUUUAGUAUAUCUAGAAUACGUAGGAUAGAAUAGUGACUAUGAUAUAAAAGGCUAAACUGAUCCUAGAUCAGCACUCUGAGAAGUUUUAUGAAUAUGGGCCCGGGGCCUCGCCUGCCUUCAGGUCUGCUGACAAUGUGCUCCUGUUUCAUAAUGACCAGGCCCUGACCCUGAGCCCAGGCCCUACAGAGGGCGCUCAUGAGCACAUCAUCAUCCUCUCUCUCUCUGUUGUUCCACCAGCAGCAGAAUCCCUCUCUGUGAUGAAUACACACAUCACCUCACGCAUGGCUGGACUACUGCUGCCUGUCCACAGCCUCACCACAGUCAGUGUAAAUUGCUGAUGUUGGUGGUUUCCUCCAGUGGCCUGAGUUGAGGUGUGGAGCCCUUGGAACUGAUUAGGUCUGUGUGCCCUUUACCUGCAGCCAGACUCCUUCACCCCUCAGGCUUGUUCCAGAUGUGCCAUUACAAACGCUUGUAUGAUGUCCAUCUGAAAGACUUCCUGGAAAAUCGCAUGUCUUUAUUACAUUGUAAUUACAUGUUGAGAAGACUCGCUGGGAAUCCUUGGCCAGCUGCACCCUCUCACCUGUUCCACAGCUUUCCCCCACAGGGAAAUCUGUAUCCUUCAAACUAUUGUCCAGAUUCAACUCCAAUUGCCGUUUUUAAGAUCAAUGGUGAUGUUUUGUUAAGGCAAAUUUGCCCUGAAAUCAAUAGGCCUGUGUUUGGAUAUCUCUCACACCCAAGUCAGACUGUUCUCUCUACUACCACACGGCAAGUGGUACCAAUGCACCAAGUCUGGAACCAACAGCACCCUGAACAGCUUCAACCCGCAAGCCAUAAGACUGCUAAAUAGCUAAUCAAAUGGCUCCCUGCAUUGACCCUAUUUUGCACAAACUCUCUUGCACUGACUCUAUACACACAUACUGGACUCUACCCACACGCUCACACAUACUGAACUCUACUCACACAUACUUACACUGACACCCCAACACACACACCACAUA